RNAcentral lists this ribosomal RNA (775 nucleotides) under uncultured Neocallimastigales. RNAcentral's name for it is "partial large subunit ribosomal RNA". It matches the Rfam family "Eukaryotic large subunit ribosomal RNA", at positions 26 to 637 of the family's 3401-position model. The record is from RNAcentral. Lineage: Eukaryota; Fungi; Neocallimastigomycota; Neocallimastigomycetes; Neocallimastigales.
CGCAUCUGUGCAUGCAGCAUAUCAAUAAGCGGAGGAAAAGAAACUAACAAGGAUUCCCCUAGUAACGGCGAGUGAAGCGGGAAGAGCUCAAAUUUGAAAUCUUAAAGGGUUUCCCUUUACGAAUUGUAGUUUAAAGAAGUGUUUUCUGUUGAGGUUUUGGUAAAAGUUCUUUGGAAUAGGACAUCAUAGAGGGUGAGAAUCCCGUAUUUGACCUUUACUUUCAACUUUGUGAUACACUUUCAAAGAGUCGGAUUGUUUGGGGAAUGCAGUCCAAAAUGGGUGGUAAAUUUCAUCUAAAGCUAAAUAUUGGCGAGAGACCGAUAGCGAACAAGUACCGUGAGGGAAAGAUGAAAAGAACUUUGAAAAGAGAGUUAAACAGUACGUGAAAUUGUCAAAAGGGAAGCGUUUGACACCAGUGUUGUUUUUCUGAAAAUCAAUUAAAGAACUGUUUAUGCUAAGUUGUUUAGACUUUAUCAGCUAACUGUUUAGUUUUGAGCUUUUCUUUAAUGCACUUUUCAGUUAACAAGUCAACAUCAAUUUCUUUUGCUGUAAAAAAGCUUGAGGAAGGUGGCUUGAGAUUCGUCUUAAGUGUUUAUAGCCUCUUGCCUAUGCAGUCGGAGAGAUUGAGGUCUGCAGCGUAGAUCCUUCGGGGCUAAAUGCAUUUGUGCUAAGUUAUAGCAUUUUAUAGACAACUUGUUGACUAUGAUUUGUCUUGUAGCUUACUCGCUUAUGUUAUUUUACCUACGCUUAGGAUGUUGACAGCAGUAUAGACUGU